AAGUCGUGCGAGAAAGGGCUUCGGCCCCAGUACAGCGGCGCACGGGUGCGUAACACGUAGGUAAUCUUCCCUCUAGCGGGGGAUAACAUCCCGAAAGGGUUGCUAAUACCGCAUGAGACCACGGCGACCUCGGUCGCUGAGGGAAAAGCUGGCCUCUGCAUGCAAGCUAGCGCUAGGGGACGAGCCUGCGGCCCAUCAGCUCGUUGGUGAGGUAACGGCUCACCAAGGCUAAGACGGGUAGCUGGUCUGAGAGGAUGAUCAGCCACACUGGAACUGAAACACGGUCCAGACUCCUACGGGAGGCAGCAGUGGGGAAUCUUGGUCAAUGGGCGCAAGCCUGAACCAGCGACGCCGCGUGAGUGAUGAAGGCCUUCGGGUUGUAAAGCUCUGUGGGGAGGGGCGAAAACGGGCCGGGCGAACAGGCCGGUCCCUUGACGGUACCUCCUUAGCAAGCACCGGCUAACUCUGUGCCAGCAGCCGCGGUAAGACAGAGGGUGCGAACGUUGCUCGGAAUUACUG
RNAcentral lists this ribosomal RNA (519 nucleotides) under uncultured bacterium. RNAcentral's name for it is "bacterial SSU rRNA". It matches the Rfam family "Bacterial small subunit ribosomal RNA", at positions 59 to 556 of the family's 1533-position model. The record is from RNAcentral.